UAUAAUACCAUCACCAACAAAUUACAUAAAUGAUCCUUUUGAGAGUAAUUUCUUAUUUACACAUUUUCGUCAAACAAAACCAUAAAAUUGAGUUUCUCUUUUUCCUAGAGAUUAAGAAAAAACUAAAUACAAACACAUUCACGGAUUUUAAUUCAUUAAAGGAUUGGAAAUUAGUACAAACAGACAAAUUGAUCACCUGCUGCUAGGCAAUCACUGUAACGAGCAUAGAGUCAAAUACUUAAUGAAUUGGCUAAAUGUGACAUGGCAACAACGGCUGACUGGCUGAAGACUUAACAACCAACAUUGUGGUUGUUGUACCAAAGUUCAGCAAAUAAAUGAGGAAGACGUGUGCGUAUAAUCGGAUAUUAUAACCUGCUGCGCCUGUGCAAACACUUGGAUGAUGUGCUCGCUCGUACCAUUGUGUCAUUGUACAUUCAUUCAACGUUAACGAUUGCAUUUCGGUACAAGGACAAUGAAAACCAACAAUAAUCGAAUAGCAGAUGAGUUUUUCAGCUGUUCUUCUGUUUAGUUUGUAUGUCUCGUAUGUCCUGUUCUGUCUUAGUUGCU
This is a long non-coding RNA of Lucilia cuprina (Australian sheep blowfly), 567 nucleotides long. RefSeq lists it as uncharacterized. The record is from RefSeq and is a predicted model, not a curated record. Lineage: Eukaryota; Metazoa; Arthropoda; Insecta; Diptera; Calliphoridae. The transcript is spliced from 3 exons.